CAUGGCUCAGGACGAACGCUAGCGGCGUGCCUAAGAAAUGCAAGUCGAGCGAGGUUAGGGAGCUUGCUUCCGAAGCCUAGCGGCGAACGGUCGCGUAACACGUAAGGAACCUGCCCCGAAGUGUGGGAUAGCCCCGGGAAACUGGGAGUAAUACCUCAUGUGGUCUACUGGAGGCAUCUUCGGUAGUCUAAAGCAGCAAUGCGCUUCGGGAUGGUCUUGCGGCCUAUCAGCUAGUUGGUGGGGUAAUGGCCUACCAAGGCGACGACGGGUAGCUGGUCUGAGAGGAUGGUCAGCCGGACUGGGACUGAGMCACGGCCCAGACUCCUACGGGGGGCAGCAAUUAGGAAUUUUGCGCAAUGGGCGAAASCCUGACGCAGSGACGCCGCGUGACUGAUGAAGUCUUUCGGGA
RNAcentral lists this ribosomal RNA (409 nucleotides) under uncultured Parcubacteria group bacterium. Its description in RNAcentral is "bacterial SSU rRNA". It matches the Rfam family "Bacterial small subunit ribosomal RNA", at positions 18 to 423 of the family's 1533-position model. The record is from RNAcentral.